CCUACGGGCGGCUGCAGUGAGGAAUAUUGGUCAAUGGGCGCGAGCCUGAACCAGCCAAGUAGCGUGAAGGAUGACUGCCCUACGGGUUGUAAACGUCUUUUAUAAAGGAAUAAAGUGAGGCACGAGUGCCGUUUUGUAUGUACGUUAUGAAUAAGGAUCGGCUAACUCCGUGCCAGCAGCCGCGGUAAUACGGAGGAUCCGAGCGUUAUCCGGAUUUAUUGGGUUUAAAGGGAGCGUAGAGGGGUUGUUAAGUCAGUUGUGAAAGUUUGCGGCUCAACCAUCAAAUUGCAAUUGAUACUGGCAGUCUUGAGUACAGUUGAGGUAGGCGGAAUUCGUGGUGUAGCGGU
RNAcentral lists this ribosomal RNA (347 nucleotides) under uncultured bacterium. Its description in RNAcentral is "partial 16S ribosomal RNA". It matches the Rfam family "Bacterial small subunit ribosomal RNA", at positions 338 to 682 of the family's 1533-position model. The record is from RNAcentral.